RNAcentral lists this long non-coding RNA (1903 nucleotides) under Hordeum vulgare. Its description in RNAcentral is "long non-coding RNA (HVUL_LNC009919)". The record is from RNAcentral. Lineage: Eukaryota; Viridiplantae; Streptophyta; Magnoliopsida; Poales; Poaceae.
UGCACACCACCCUCCUCAACUCCUAAGGCAAGCAUCUUGAACCCUGGUUUGUUUGGUUUGUAUAAUGUUUGCUGUGAUGAAAUGGACUUAGUUGUUUCGAUAUGCUGAUAAAAACCACACAUAAGAUCAUGCUUGCAUGAAUGCAUGUGAUGAAUAUUUGGUUUGUUGCUAAAUACUUGUGAUGCAAAGGUGAGUGGGUACUCCUCAUGCCUCAUAUGCCAUGCUGGUCUGGACAACCUCAGAGGGAGGUUUUUCGUGGAUAUUGUGUGACCAUGGACUGACAUCUUGUGGCACGAGAGUGGUCAGUUAGUGCAUACCGAGAUGUGGUGGUGGUAACACUGAGGCUUAUCAAUCACAAAAAUUGUGUGAUACCAACCUUGCAAGAAGUCUUAAACCUCUUAAGUCGACCGUUGAUAGAGUCUUGUCAGUAAGUCACCUUACCCUUUUGUGCUACCAUGCGUCUUCCCAAGAGGGAAUAUAGUUGAGUAAUACGUAAACCUAUUAUUAGGCACACACCAAGUAGAGGGGCCAGGAUGAAGGUAUCCAUUGCCCUAGACUAAAUCCAGUCAUCCGGUUAGGGGGCUUGGGUAUUUUCCGGUCCGGGACCGAGAGCGAAUGGCCAUUCCCUUGUAGUGCGCUAUAUAAAUGUGAUCACAUGCUAUUCGAGGGUGUUGGCCUCCCCGUCUCAUGGUUUUUUACCAGGCGACGUAGUCCGGGUGAUACCCGUCUAUGCGGUGAUAAAAAUGGGUGUGUACUGGUUGUGAGUGUAUACCUCUAAAAUACUGUAUGCGAGAUUAGUCCGAGUGACUAUUGAACCCCGUGGGCUGUGGGUAAAGAGUACAACCUUUGCGGAGUCAAAACUAUUCGAGUAGCCAUGUCCACGGUCAAGGACGACUGGUUUACUAGUGAGGUGUCGGUCUGAGUGUCGGUCUUCGGAGGAAAUUAAACUGAAAAUGGAUGGACCCUAUAAACCAUGAUGUUAAGUAUUAUUAUUAUUAGUAUUAUUAUGAAUUCUAGUUUGAACUAAUCAUAUGUGAUGUAUGGAAUUGUUAGAGUAUCCUUGGGACGGUUCUACCUCCUGGAUACUCGGUGUUGAUAUUUUGUAAGCCCUUUCUGCGGUGUCGCUUAGACGCCUGACUAGGGAAACUGUUAUUUCUUUCAUAUAUGCCCUUUCUGUGGUGUCGCUUAGACGCCCGACUGUGGCAACUAUUAUUUCUUUCAUAUAAGCCCUUUCCGUGGUAUCGCUUAGAUGUCCGACUAUGGCAAUUGUUAUUGCUUUUAUGUGAGACCUUUAGGUCGUGUCGCUCCGACGCCCCAUUGUGGCACACAUGCUAUUUCAUCAUAUAAGCCCUUUUUAUGGUGUCGCUCCAGACGGCCAACUAUGGCAUGUUUAGUAAUAUUCCAUUGACAAGUCACUUUUUUGUGGUGUCGUUAAGACGCCGACUAUGGCUUGUGUUACUUGUCUUUCCGAGGCGUCGCCUCAUACGCCCAAUCGACAAGCUUAUAAUUGAUUAUUACCCUUCCUUGCUUGUUUAGACAACAUUGGUGGAAUUGAUUUAUCUGCAUGAAUGCUUCCGUGAAUUAAUCCCGAUGGCAUGAUAAGUUUAUUAAGUGAAUUAUGCAUGUCUCUCACCUGCUUUAACUUAUUCUUUUUAUUGAUGUUUGUGAGUACAUUCAAAGUACUCACUGGCUUGUCCCUAGCUCUUGUCUUAGCCAGAUUCCAUCGGAGAGGAGCACAAUGUCAUCAACACGGAGAUCUAGGAAUCGAGGAUAGCAGCUUUGUGAGAUAGGAAUUUAUCCAGGUGAGAUGUUCAUGUGGAAAUGGAGUCCAUGGGCACUGGAGAUUCCUCGAGUCGCCUCCGCCGCCAACCGCACACUAUGUUCAACCUGGUGGAGCUUUAUG